This 239-nucleotide unclassified non-coding RNA is filed under the name Hevea brasiliensis (rubber tree). Lineage: Eukaryota; Viridiplantae; Streptophyta; Magnoliopsida; Malpighiales; Euphorbiaceae. The record is from RNAcentral.
AAAAAAAGAAAAAAGAAUUUAUAAGUAAAUUUGGAGAUGAGAAAUUAGAGGAUAAUGGCAAAUUCUAACAGAGAUCGUGAACUUCUAAUUCCGGUGGCUAACACCGGCGCCGGCGACGAUGGAGCCGGCGACAAGCCUUCUUCUUCAUCAUCAUCCUCCUCUUCUCACCAUCACUCCGGACGCGAGACUUUCUCUAAAGUUGUUAGGAGCUGGGCUUCUAAGAAAUUCAUGACUGGAUG